CGCUAUACUAGCUUCUGAAUUUACCGGCUCACUUCCACGAGCCGGUUUUCAAUGAAU
Citrobacter sp. is the source of this 57-nucleotide non-coding RNA. The record is from Rfam. NCBI's taxonomy places the organism in Bacteria, Pseudomonadati, Pseudomonadota, Gammaproteobacteria, Enterobacterales, Enterobacteriaceae.